Molecule: small RNA, 28 nt
Filed under: Bombyx mori (domestic silkworm)
Lineage: Eukaryota; Metazoa; Arthropoda; Insecta; Lepidoptera; Bombycidae
Description: ovarian small RNA-30059
Source: RNAcentral
UCUGUUAAGGUUGAUUUGACGUAGUUGC